GUUCUAUGUUUAAAGGUUGAGGUUUCAGUGGCAUGUUACUUACUGUUGCAUUAAGAACCAGCAACUCCCUCUUUGAAUUGUUCUGAAGAAGGGGGUUUGAUAUUUUCAUUUUUCACAAGCAGUUUCGUUUUUAAUCUUUUUGUAUUUUCGAUUUUAACUUUUUUAAUUUUUUUAACUCUUUUUUAUUUCUUUUUAUAUGUUUAGUUAUCAAGUGUUUUGCCCACUGCCUAGUGACUACCGUAACAUAACCUGUUUUCCAGUUGAAGACAGAAUAGAAAAAUGUUGUUUUUGCUUGGAAAUAAAAUAGAUAAAAAGAUAAGUGCUUGUAGGUCCUUUAUAUGACAUAAAUAAGUCAUUGUCCUGUUUUUAGGAUUAUUUAAAAUGCAGAUAAUUACUGUGCUUUUUUGGUUGCAGAAUUAUUAAUUCUAGAAAGAUGUCAUAUUUAGCUUGUCAUUGGUGUGGAUUUAUUCCUCUAGUGGUAUAUUGAGCGUAUUUUGAUGUUGUUUUGUUCCAUUAUUAGUAAUAGGAGAAGUAUUUAGUGCUUCUAUGGGUUUUCAAUUUCUCCUGUCUGAAGGUCCUGUAUUUCAUGUGUUGAUUGUUUGGUAUGGAUUACUUCUGGUAGCAAUUUGAUGAGGUUUGAAAGAUUAUAGGCGUUAAAUAACCCAAUUUAUUUAAAUGCACCUGUGGAUUGUAUUUUGAGCAGGUUAACUGAAAAGCUUGGUAGAAUUUGGGCAAUUAAGUAAGCCUAUCAGAAAUUUAAAAUUGGUUUGGGUACUAAAUAAAUGCUUACGGAUACAUGCAUUGAUUCUCAAUUAUGUUAUUGGUUUUAGGAUGCUCCAAGUUCUUGUAGCUCUUUUCUAAUGAAAAAUGUUUUUGCUUUCGGGCAAGGAUAGAAAGCUAAGGUUCUCUGGCUCUAGCUCCUUUUUGGGUUACUCGGCAAGAUUGCAUUUUUGAAGAUAAGAGGGAAGACCAAGUUUCUUGUCAGUGGGACAAUGUUCACUUUUUGUCAUCCGUUUGGACUUAGUUGGGAGGGGCUAGCUUUUGACAUGGUUGUAUAUCUAUGACUAAGCAUAGAGAUUGAGAGCAUACUGAUCAUCCAGGGAAAUUAACAAGAAUUAUCUGUUUUACUUUUGCAGACAGAGUCUAGAACUGCAGUUAAAUAUACAAUAAAUAGAAAUUCUAAUCCUAUUGUAAGGAUAGAAGGGUGAUGACUGUGAUUGCAUUAAAUUGAAGUUUGGAAGUCAGGCAAAUUGAUUGAAUGUCUCUUUGAACAUCAGUAAACUGCGCUGAUUGGUUGAACUUUUCAGGUGUUUGUAGAUUCAUUCAUAUUUUUGCGAGGAAAUUGUUUUCCUUAAAUGUUUAAAGUUGUUAUGUGAGCUAUGCUUGCAAAAGAUUAAACGUGCAUGGUUGUUUCUUGUCAUACACAAUUUAUGCUUUUUGAAGUAUUUUCCCCAAGAUUUUCUACGAAUUGAACACUUAAUAGGUUUCAUAUAUUUUUUCCCCCUUCCACUUUUUAAGGGUGGAUGACCCUUGCAUGAUGGGAAUACAAUUGUGGAUUGUGUAGUAUCGCAAAGAAAUGUCUUGGAAGAAAGAAAUUAAAUAUUAAAAUGUCAUCAUUAAAUGAUAAAACCAUGUAGCUUACUGGGAAGGGUUAUGAACUGAUGCGUUGUAGGAUCAAAUCCAUCGUUCAGAAAAAGAUUUCAAGAAAACAUAUAUGUAUGCUGGUCAAUCAUCAAGAACUUGGUCGUGUGCGAAAGCUUAUAUUGUUAACGAGGGGGUGAAUUGACGACAAAAUUGAGAUAAUGAUUUGGGCGGAUAAAUACAUAAAAUAUUUUUUCUUUUUUAAAGAUGCUUAAUUCCUUCACAUCUCAUAAAUGUCCGCACUGAUUUACGGGUUCUGAGAAAAUAUUGCGGUCACAUUGAUAGGGUAAAAAGGUGGUCCUAAGGCCUUACGCAUACUCUUAACUAAAUAUGUAAGCAGCAGCAUCUUAAGGGUAUCGUUGUAAGUAAAAAAAAUAAAAUAUAUUCCUUCCCUUAACGCAGAUUUGCUAAUAAAAGAAAAGAAAAUCAUGCAUAUAAAUAUAAGAAUUAAAAAAGAACUGCAAAUAGAUUUGAUAUGGGAGGAUUGUCAAUCUCCCAUGCCCUAUUAAAAUCUAUAUAUAUAUAUCACAUAUAACCUGUUGUUUUAUACAAUUCAAAAACUCCCGCGGCGCCAAAAAUUUAGAAGAAAAUAAGUUAUUUGUUUGGUAAUUUAUCUUGAAAAUAAUAUAUAUGUGUGUGUGUGUUGUGUGUGUUAUAAGAAAAAUAUUUAAAAAAUAACAAAAAGCACAAGAAAAAGUUAUCUUAUUAUUAUUUUUUAUUCACACCGAAACUUUUUUUAAUUCUCAAAUUUUUAAUUUUAAUUUCUAUUUAUAUGAUUUAUUUAAUUUAUAAUAAAUAUGAACAAAAGUAUAUUUAAAAAUAAUGGAAAUACUGUAAAAUUAUUUUUCGAGGAGUAUUGACUAUAUAUUUUAAUUUCCAAGUCAAUUUUUUUCUGGCUGAGGUAAUUUGAUCGAAGAAAAUGACAGCCUUUAAAUUUGUCAAUGUUUUCGUUUAUAAUUAGUAUUAAUUAGUAGGUUGGUUAUCAUAUUUGCAAUUUGGAGGUGGGGGAAGGAAAUAUUUAGAUGGCGUUUAUUUUUUUGUCUGAAAUCUGAAUAGACCUGAAUUAAUCUGAAUUCUGAAUAGAUCUGAAUGUCUGAAUCUGAAUAAUAUAUUUAUUUUUUCGUCUGAAUCUCGAAAAAUAAGUAUUAAAUUGUUUAUUUUUUUCAACUUAAAAAGCUGAAAAUAUAUACUUUUACAUUUGUAUCCUUAUUAAAUUUGAAUGUCAAAUAAAUAAUAUAUUAAAUACCACAAUAUUUUAACAUUUAUAAGUAUAACUAUAUUCAAGUGAAUACAUAAUUAUUUUAGAAUUUUAAUAAAUAAAAUACCAUAAAUUUUAAAUUUUAUCGUAUAUAAUAUAAGAAAGAAAAAACAUUGAUAUUUUUAUGUGAGGUAAAUGUCUAUAGGUGAGUUUUGGGAUAGACAUGAAAAAUAAAUUAUAAAGCAUGGAUAUUUUUGACAUUAGUAAGUAAUUGACUUAAUUCAGAUUUCUCCAUUAAGUAAAAAGCAAAAAAAAUUAGCUUAUUUUAUUAAGUCAAAAUUAUCUAAUAAGUCUCAUUAAGUUAUAAAAACAAGCACCUCUAAUUAACUUAAUUAAUUAAGUUAAGUCACUUUAAGUUAUUAAGUUAAAAAACAAACGCCACCUUAGUAGUAUAUAAUUUAAUUAAUCAGGGCCAGCAACUGCACAUCUUUCUCCAUAUCAAAGUUCCCUGAAAAACUCAACAAAGUGACUCAGACCUAACAUUAUCUAUUAACAAUUAACAUUGUUGAAUUAAAGAAUAAAGACUGUAUUAUUAUAAUUAACUCCAAUUUGGAAUAAUCCUCAGUUAGUCAUGUGGGUCUCACUCUCUAGCCGGCCAUUUGUAUUAAAGUUAAAGAAACCGAUAAACCUAAUAACAUCCGUAGAAUCAUACUUUUGAAAAACAAUUUCUUCGGAUAAAAUUAGCCUAAUGAACCCUAAUCUUCUCUUAGAAUUUGAUUGUAGGGAAAGAUCGGACUUGUUUAGCUUUUAGAAUCUUUUAUCUUGAAAUGGUGGAGCCAUUUAUUUAGCCUUAACUUGCCAACUCCAUAAAACUACAAAUACGGUCAUCUCAUUUCAUUGGUCUCUUUCUUGAGUCUUGACAAAACAAAACUCCCGCCAAAACGGAUGCCUUUAUUCAAUUCAAGUAACAAAGCAACACUUUCGUCAAAUAAAUACAGUUGAUUAAUGAUCAUUAUCUUGUGUUUUUUUUUUUCUUUUUUCCAAUGAUACCAUACGCCCAAAAAUGUACAUGUAAAAUGUAAUAUAGUUGCUGUUAUAUUUUUAUUAUGAAUUCAAGUUUUACAUGAAAUUAGAGCGAACUCUUUAUCAUAGAACUUUUAACUUGAUCGUAACAAUGUCGCUAUGCAUAUUCAUAUCAAAAGAGAUUGAUUUAUUUGUGCAUCAUAUUGGGUAUGAGAAAAGGUAAUGUGGUGUGCAAAUUAACAUAAGCUUUAUGGAGAGAGGAAUCUCGUGAUUAUCUGAAAAAUGUAAAAUUAUAUUUUCGAGGAGUAGAUUAUGCUUCCAACCGGACAGAUUGACAAUAUUGGAUCAAACAAUCAACACUCGGACUUGUUUGCUAUUUUUAUCGCAUUACUUGAAUAGAAACCCUAAAUAGAAAAAAAAAAAAAAAAAAGAGGGAGACAAUAUGAAAUUGACAUAUUAGACCAAAAGAUCUCAUGAGCAAGGACGUGGAAGUGCGGAACACACCCCUCCAACUCCUUAAUUCCCUAAGUUGUAAGGAAGCAUGGUUGAAAAUUCAUUAUCGGGAAAAAAAAAAUCGGCUUUAUACAUUACGAUUUUGCAUUUAUUUUUAAAAUUUAAGAUUAAAAAAAAUAACAUACUCAACUCAACCUAAUAAUAAUGGUCACAAACGGACACAAUAGAAAAAAAUUUCCGUACGUGUAUACUCAACUCAACCUAAUAAUGAUGGUCACAAACGGAUACAAUAGAAAAAAAUUUCCAUACGUGUAGGUGAAAUAUGUUUUUUUAUAUUGGUAGACCUAUUAAUUCAUGAGAAGGAAAAAUUUUGUGGAAUAUUGACUUUGCAAAUUUGAUGUGAAGUCGUUUUGUUCCAUUAAAAUAAGCUUUAGGAGAAAGUACCUACCUAAUACAUCUAUGGGUUAAGUGGUUAGGUAAGAAAAUUCUAUUGAAGCUUAUUUUUAGGAGUUAAAUAACCCAAUUUAUCAAAAAAGUGGCUGUAGAAUAUUCUAUUUUGAGCAGAUUAAGUAAGACGCUUGGGAGGUUUUAGGCAAUUACAUAAUUAAAUAUAUAUCUAUUUGAAAUUUUAAUUGUACCCGUGGAUAACUUCUUUUUUUUUUUUUUUUUGAAGAGAAAGUAAAGCUUUCCAUUAGAUAAACUUAGAGAAGAUACAACUGAUUUGUUCUAGAAAAUUUUCUAGCCAAAAGACUUGACUUUCAAAACCUAGUGCUAUCUUUGCCAGAGAAUGAGCAAUAGAAUUACAGCUCCUAGGGACAUAUGACACUGAGGACAAAUUCUGAUUUUCCAAUUUUGCUUGAAUCUCUGUAAUUUUCCACACAAUUUCAGCCUUGCAAGUCUUCUUCUUCUUUAAGGAUAGAUCCACCACUUCCUUUGAGUCUGACUCAAUGAUUAUUGGGAAACAAUCUGCUUGAUGGGCACUUUGUAUACUGAACAGCACAGCUUCAGCCUCCAUGCACGCCACAUCUCCCCUAUAUGGAGCUCCUUGGACUGCUGCAGCAAUCACCUUGCCCAUAGAAUUUCUAAUGACUACCCUCAACCCUGCCUUCUAGUUAGAAACAUUGAUUGCAGUAUCAACGUUAACUUUAUAACACCCUUUUGGAGGAAAAAAUUCUAAAAUACCUCAGAUGUACUACAACUAAUUGAUGCAUGCAUGAAAUAUGUAAUUGAAUUUAAUACAACCACCACUUAUAUGAUAGUGGUUUAAAAUAAAUACACACAUAUCAUGACAUCAUUUCUUAUUGUAUGAGUGACAUAAUAACUCAUAUGUAUUCUAAAAUUUUUCUUUUGGAGGAGUAGCUCAUACCAGUUGUUUGAUUAUGCUGUGGUACCCGUGGAUAAUUGGUUUAUCAUGCACGGGAGAUUUCAAAAAAGAAAAAUAAAAAAAGAAAAAGAAAAUGACUUUCCAACUCACUUUUGAGGCAUAAGGGCCAGUUUCAGAUUGUUGUUAAAAUGAUGAAAAAUAACUUUGAGAAACCAAGAAUUAAUUUUAAUAUUUGGCGAAAAAAUAUAAAAUCACACAAAAAAUUUGGAAAAAUAAAAUUGACUUCACAAUUCAUUCCUUCAGAGGACUUUUUAACACCCUGAACAACGUUAUUUUUAAAAACCAUAUAUUUGCCACGUUAGGAAUACGGGCAUUAAAGACGGUGUUGGGUGCUCGUUUAAAACUUUUAAAAGAUUCAUAAUUGUGCUUGUGACACUGACAAGCCGCUGCCCAUUUAAUUUUCAUGUGGUACUUUACUUUGAUUAUUCCAACCCAAUCGUCAAUCUGCCGAUAAUAGACUUAUCCUUCGAAGUUUUCUUUGAAUCCAUUACACUCCAAUAAGUGCUUUUGAACUGGUGAAACUCAAUUAAAUAGUCAUCGGUUCGGUCGGAUUAAAAAAUUAAAAAAAAAAAAGAAAGAGAAAACUUAAUUAGUCAUUUAUCAAUAGGUGAAAAAAUUUCGAAUCACUUAACCGACAAACUUUUCCAUGCUCCUGCCACUGCAAAACCUAUAGUGAAUUUAAAAGUAAAUUUUAACAGUAAAUCAUUAACAGCUAACUAAAUAUGUAAGCAGCGGGCACCUUAAGGGUGUCUGUGUGUUUAUAUAUAUAUUAUAAGAAAAAUAUUUAAAAAAUAAUAAAAAGUACAAGAAAAAUUCACACCAAAACUUAUAUUUCUUAUUUUUAAUUCUGAAAUUUUUUAUUUUUGUUUAUAUGAUUUAUUUUAAUAUAUAAUAAAUAUGAGCAAAAGUACAUUUCAAAAUAAUGGAAAUAAUGUAAAAUUAUUCUGGGAGGAGUAUUGACUAUAUAUUAACUGAUAAUCUCCCCCUUUGAUACAUAACGAUUCGAGUUCAAAUGAUUUCGUGUUAUAUUCAAUUAUGCUUCCUUGAACCUGACAGAUUGACAAUAUUGGAUCAAAGAAUCAACACUUGGACUCGUUUGCCAUUUUUAUCGCAUCACUUGAAUAGAAACAUUAAAGAGAAAAAAAAGGGAGAGAAUACCAAAUUGAGAUUAGACCAAAAGAUAUCAUAAACAAGGACGUUUUUUGUCAGGAAAAUCUAGUGCUUCUUCUUUAGUGGAAGUGCGGAACAAACCACUCCGACUCCUUGAUUCCCGAAGUUGCAUGGAAGCAUGGUUUGAAAAUUCAUUAUCGUUCCAUUUAGGAAAAAAAUAAAAAAAUAAAAUGCAUUAAGUUUUUUGCAUUUGUAAAUUUAUGAUAAAAAGUAAAUAACAUCGCUAAUUAACUAUGGUCAAAGAUUCGCAAAUAGACACAUGGAAAAAGAUUGGUAUGAUUUAGCGAUUUGGAUCCGUGUCCUUGAUUUAGCAUGCAGGUUAGUGGUUGGUCAAUUAUGCCGUGUACCUACGACCAAUGGCAACGAACUAAAGCCAGAUGGACCAAUGAACUAACAUGUAGCAUUUGACAUUUUUUCUUUAAGAAUACAACAGUCAAAAGAUCAAAAAAACUAAUUUUUAUAUGCGCCAAAUCCAUUCCGUUUUAUACAUUACGAUUUUGCAUUUAUUUUUAAAAGUAUAUUAUUAUUAUUAUUAUUUUCCCCAUCAAAUUUAUUCCGACAUAUAAAAUCAUCAGUACCAUAGUUUGAGAUCUUUGAAACCCCAUUCUUAUAACUAGAAUAUUAUUUAUUCUUGAUUAAACUUUCUUGAAGACAAAAUAAUCACGUAAUUAUAAUAAAAAGCAAGCAGCUUUUUGUACCAAAAUUAUUUUGAGAGUGUAUAAUUAUAAAAUUGAAAACAAGCUGUUGCCUUCGACGACUUCACUGCAAAUCAUUUUUCUGUUCAGUGUUAAAAUAAAUUGUGCACGAUUGGAUGCUUUAGACUACUCUUUUAUUUUGCAAGCUUGAAUUUAUUUACAAUUCAUCUCUUUUAUCCCUUUCAAAUAGAAGCCUGUUUCUUGAACCAAGCACAACAUUCCCUUUAGCUUGGGGAACGAGCUAAGAAAUCUCCUAUCAUCCAUCCAUAUUUUAAUUUUCGUUUUUUAAUCUCUUAAAAAGCCAACGUUUUUUAGAAGAAAUUGGGAAAUAAUAUGUAGUCAAUAGCCAAAUUGAAGCAAAGCUAUGCGGGUCAAUCAUCAAGAAACUUGGAUGUCCUUCCCUCGUCUACGGAAGUGAAAACACUGACACGCCCAAGUGGGUGAAAGUUAAAUUGAAAUGCCAAAAUCAAGACAUUAGAUCACAAAAUUUGCAUAACAUUUCCUUCCAGAAUAUCUUUGCCUACCUACCAGAAAACUGAAUGCAAUUUUUAUAUUUGUAUCAUUCCCUAGUCAGGCAAAUUGAUAGUAGUUUAAAAUAAAUAUACACAUAUCAUGACAUCAUUACUUGUUAUAUGAGUAACAUAGUACCUCAUAUGUAUUUUAAAAUUUCUCUUUUGGAGGAGUAGCCCAUACCAGUUGUUUGAUUAUACAGUGGUACCCGUGGAUAAUUGGUUUAUCAUGCACGGGAGAUUUCAAAAAAUAAAAAUAAAAAAAAGAAAAAGAAAAUGACGUUCCAACUCACUUUGGAGGCAUGAGGGCCAGUUUCAGAUUGUUGUUAAAAUGAUGAAAAAUAACUUUGAGAAACUAAAAAUUAAUUUUAAUAUUUGACGAAAAAAAUAUAAAAUCACACAAAAAAUUUGGAAAAAAAAAAUUGACUCCACAAUUCAUUCCUUCAGAGGACUUUUAACACCCUGAACAACCUUAUUUUUAAAAACCAUAUAUUUGCCACGUUAGGGAUACGGGCAUUAAAGACGGUGUUGGCUGCUCGUUUAAAACUUUUAAAUGAUUCAUAAUUGUGCAGUACUUGUGACACGUCAAUUUAUAUUUGCCACGUUAAUUUAUAUUCAGAACAAUUCUAUGGUCAGUGAGGGAUCUAGAAAAAUAAUUUAUCGGGGACUAAAUUAAAUGACAACAAAAUAUAAAAACUUAAAUUUGAAUAUAUAAAAUUUUUUAUAACACAUUUUCAAUUGUUCUCUACGCGAUUUCAUAUUCUAAAAAUAUUGUGUAAUAGAUUCAUUAUCAAUACUAUUAAAUACAUCUUUUUCUACAUAAACAAUCAAAUUAUUAUUUAUCCAUUCAUCUUCCAUCUGAUUCCGAAAUUCAUUCUUCAUAAAUUUUAUUACUGAAAAUAUUCUUUCUACUGUAGUUAUAGAAACUGAAAAAACGGAACUAUUUAAUAAUCUGACAUGAAUUAUUUAAAAAUUUAUUAAUUUUUCUUUUAAACAAAAAGGAUUUGUUUUUUCAGUGGGGCCCUACACUACAUCCGCCUCUGUCUACGGUGAAGUUUAAUUUAUAUUUACCACGUUAGGGAUCCUGGACUUGUGACACUGACAAGCCGCAACGCAUUUAAUUUUCAUGUGGUUCUUUACUUUGAUUAUUCCAACCCAAUCGUCAAUCUCCCAAUAAUAAUAGACUUAUCCUUCGAAGUCUUCUUUUGAAUCUAUUACACUCCAAUAACAGCUCUCCAACUGGUGAAACUCAAUUGUUUAAGGUUGGUUUUUCAUACACGAAACACUUGUUACGUCACUUAUGAGGUGGCAUUUCAAUAAGUUUUAAUCGUUUUGUGGAAUGAGUGGAAUAAGGAGCUUCUUUUCUUUCUACGGGAAAACACUUAAUUUAUUUAUUUCGUCAUAGUACUUUCGGGAACGGGCCAAGAAAUCUCCUUAAACUAUCCAUCGAUAUUUUAAUUUUGAUUUUUUUAAUAUAAAUUUAUUCCUUCAACUACAAUUUGUUUCUCAGUUCAGCAAAAGUAGAUUGACUAACUAACAAUAUAAAUAAAAGCAAUUAAUGAAUAGCACAUAAGAUUUAUCAAACAAAAAAAAAAAAAUAGCCGAAUGAGAGAAACCCCAAAAAUGAUAUAAAAUUACAAAAUUUCUCCAAAUUUUGGACAGGAUAUAGCCAACAAGUGACGUUGGCACGUUGGCAGUAGUUAAAACAAUUCGACCUUAUAUCUGUUUUGGUUCUUAUACAAUAAAACUCUUUAAUAAUAAAUUUGUCAAUCACAUACACCCCUAAGGCAAAGCUACGAGCCUAGUGAUUUUUGAAAAAUCUCUUGCAAGUCUUAAUAAAAUAAUCAAUAUUCAUAGUGGUCCCUAACACAAUUCUUUUUUAUCUUAAUAAAAUUAAUACUUAAUAAUGUCACAUUAGUCCCUAACAAAAAUUCAUAUACUUAACUAAAAAAAAAUCAUAGUAGUCUAAGUAAAUAAGGUUUAUUGAAAAUUUAUUUUAAUUCAAAAUAGGUUAAAAUAAGUUUAUAAUUUCAUCAUUGAUGCAUGCUAUUUUUAAAACUCACAACAAUAGAAUAAUUUAUCAAACAUCUAGUUACUUUUGUCCAUGUAAUUAUUAAUUUCAUUGACACAAUAUAACCAAAUUAUUUAUAACUAGCAACAAUCCCAAAAUGGGUCUUAUUUUUGGGAGCCUUAAAAUUUUAGCUGUAUUUAUUUGUUUUCUUUUUUCCAAAUACGAUUGUUAAUUCAUUUCAAAAAAAAAAAAAAGCACUUGAAUUUGGCCAGAUGUUCUUGAAAAGUUAUUCUUAAAAAUAAAAAAAAAGUGCUACAUAAAUAAAAUUAUAUGUUAAGUUUGUAUAUCAAGUGACAUGAUAUAUGAUGUAUCUGGUCGUUUAAUAAUAAUUAAUGUUAAUAAUUAGCACGUUAAUGAUGGAAUAAUAAAACGCAUUAUUACUUAACUCAUUGCCGUCAAUUAUUUUCUAUUUUUCAUGUCUGUUUAAAUUGUAAAUUACAUUGGGGGAAAAAAAAUCUACUUUACUUUGAAAAGUUUGAUUCUGCGUUGGUUUCACCCAAGCUUUCAAAAGCCACAGUGAACAAUUCAAGAUUUUUUUACUGAGAGCCACAAGGCAUUAAUAUGGAAUAGGGUGAAGAGAUCACAUCACAAGAAGUCCUGGACAUCCAUCUUUCGGUGAUCCCGUUUUUAUUUGAAAAACAAGACGUGGUACCAUCCUGGACGUCCAUCAUUCCCACGAUUUUACAAGCCUUUGCACUUGCCCGUCGAAAAAGGUAGCUUCCAGGUACUUUCGCCGGUUUAAGCACCCCCAAAGCUAUAAAAAACCUUUUCAAAUUGGUGCACUUUUUGGGCAGCCAUUUUGCCACUAUUUGAUAUUUUAUUGUAAAAGCUCAGAUUUAUACCUUAAUUUUUUUAAACCUUUUUUAUUGUACUUUUUAAAUUUAUAAUUUAUUAACUUUUUUAUUAGAUUAUGUAUUAAAAUUUGUGUUAAAAAAAUUCAAACUUUAGAUAUAUGUUAUGGUUAAAUUAAACAAAUAUUAAAAAGUGUAUUUCAUUUGAAAAUAAAAUAUAUAUUCUUUUAUUUUCUGAGCAUUUAUUGGGUUUAUGAAAAGGAGCAUUUUUUUAAAAGAAUAUUAUAUAAAUUCUUUUAUGUUUUUGAGCACUUAUUUCAUUAAAAACCGUCAAAAGGCACACGUGUCAUGAAGAGAGAGAAAAACCGUGCAAAUGCAGGCAAUAGGAGUUGGCCUCCAUCCUACAAAUCCCCCAAGGCCCCAAGAGCUCAGCCCUUUCAUAUGGUUAGCUGAGAGCUAAAAUCUUCUUCCAUUGCAAAAUUAUGAGGUUUUCUUUUGACAUUCAAUUUCCAGAAAUGAAUUGUCCUGUUGAUGUGAGACUCGUGUUUCCACCAUUGCUAAAUUUUGUAGUCUUCUUUUUGUUCCUGAGAUCUCAAGAUGGUCAGUCUUGGUCCCUCCAGGAUGGAGCCAACCACAUACUUUUGUACCCAAUUUUAAAGCUUCCAUUCCCCUUCCUGAGUCUUGCCGUCCUGAUAUUACUCCUCUUUCUCCUCACAGCCAUCAGGGUUCCUCUCAGAGUGAGCAGCCCCAUGUCCGUGAGUUGUGGAGAUCAUCUCCCUUGUCUGUUGGCAAUAUCAACAAUCGCGUCUCUCAUUUUGGCCCCAUCUCUUUUCUUGGUGGUUUAUCUGUGUCUCAUGAUCCUAUCACUCUUUUAUGUAAUGUCAACUUCUCUGUUCAAGCGCUUCUGCAAAGGACGCACUGUUGUUCCUGAAUCUGAUGGUCAAGUUGAAGUUGGACAUGAAGCUGAAGCUGAAGUUGAAGUUGAAGUUGAAGUUGAAGUUGAAGUUGAAGUAGACGGUGGGCGCAUCCAAGACCUGCAGCCAAGUCCAUCUGGGGAUAUGAUGUGAUUGUGGUGACUUGAGCUUCCAUAGUUCCAUGCAACCACUACUACCUAUGGCUGGCUAGAGGUGCUACAGCAAUAAUAUAUUCUUCUGUUUUAAUUUUUUUUUUUAAGAAAAAGAUAAAAAUCAGUUCAGUUGUGUCAGUUAUGCAUACGAUUCCGUAUAGACGACCAGACAACGAAUUUAUUUUUUUUAAUAAUAUUUAUGAGAUUCGUGUGUCUCUCUCUGUUAAUUUUCACUUUGUCUCCCCAUCAACACGCAGUACUAACGUUGAAAAGAAUAUUAUGUAUAAAUGGUUUUGACGGCUCUGGUGUUGGAGUUGAUGGUUUGGAAGGCACUGGAGCUGGCGACGAUGGUUUAAACGGUUGAGGUGUCGGAGCUGGUGUAAGUUGUGGAGGUGAAAGUCGGGGUGGAAACUGCACUGGUGGUGGAUAUUGGACUGAAGGAGGUGGUGGAGGUGAAGGUAGGGGUGGAGAUUGCCGUGACUGCACUGGUGGAGGUGAAAUUGGGGCUGGAGAUUGUAUUGGUGGUGGAGGAGAGUUCGCGGGUGGUGGUGGAGAUUGCACUGGUGUUGGAGGUGGGGGAGAUUGCCCUGGUGGUGGGUACUGAACUGAAGGUGGUGGAGGUGAAGGUGAGAAUGGAGAUCUUACUGGUGGAGGAGGAGAGUGCAUAGGUGGUGGGGGAGAUUGCACUGGUGGUGGAUAUUGAACUGAAGGAGGUGGUGGAGGUGAAGGUGAGGGUGGCGAUCUUACUGGUGGAGGAGGAGAGUGCACAGGUGGAGGUGGGGAAUGCACUGGUGGUGGAUAUUUAACUGAAGGAGGUGGUGGAGGAGAUUCUAGCAGAGGUGAAGGUGGUGGGGUGAACUGAACCGAUGAUGGUGGAUAUUGAACUGGUGCAAGCAAUGGUUUUGAUGGUUCAGGUGCUGGUGCCGAUGGUCUCCAUGGUUGGGGUGGAGUAUGUGAUCUAACUCUCCAAUUUCUUCAGUUAAGCUUUAGUUCUGGUAAUUCAUUACGAUUUCUUUGUUAAAUGAAUACGUGCGGCCCGCAGAUAAAUUAAAAUAAUAAUUUAAAGAAACUUAUUUUAUUAAUAGCUGCUUCUCAAUUCUCAUUGUGAUGUUUUAAAGAAACUUAUUUUAUCUUAAUUGUUCUUUUUAUAUUUAUAUUUACAUUUUGUUUUAAUAUAUAUGUAUCUAUUAUAUAUACCAAUUCAGCUUUAUAAAUUAAGAUUUUACAUUUAUAAAUUUAAAAUAAAAAAUCAGGAUUAACGUACCCCACCUAAUGUUCAAAGAUUCGCAAAUAGACACAAUGAGAAAAGAUGAGAUAAGGUCUUCAAAACGGGUCCCAUGCACGCGACAUUUAACAUGUUUGAUCAUUCAUUAAGAUCCAAUCAUAUAGCUAGUAAAAUUUUUCUUCUUCGGUCAUUCAUUAAGAUCCAAUCAUAUAGCUAGUAAAAGAAAAAUAUUGUAAUUAAUUAGUCUAUAACAAAAAAAUUCAGUUUUGUAGUAGUGAGUUUAAACUUUUAAAGUUCUCAUAAAGUAAUGUUUCUUUGAAAUUUUUUAAAUUUAAUCUUUUAGAGUGAAGAAGAAAUUGAAAAUUGAAAAAAAAAAUUAUUAAGAAUAUGAGAUUAUGUUAUGGUACUGCUCACCAGUGCUGAAGCCUCCAUCGAAUGAAUGGAAUAUUAAAUUUAUUUCCAAAUAAAAAAUAAAAAUAACAUUAAUUUGACGCUUAUAACAUGCAAGAAAACUCUGAGGACGAUGGUGGGUGUUAAUGGAAAGUUUUUUCUGACAAAAAAGAAAACAUUUUACCAUAUAGCCUCAAUAUGAAAGAAUAAUCAAGGUGAAGCUGAACUUUAAUUCUGGUAAUUCAUUACGGUUUCUUCGAUAAAUGAAUACGUGGAUAAAUUAAAUUAACAAACAAUAGUUGCUUUUGUCAUGUUUUAAAGAAACUUUACUUUAUCUUAAUUGUUCUUUUUAUAUUUACAUUUACAUUUUGCUUUAAUAAAUAUGCAUCUAUUAUAAUAUUAAAUUUAAUAAUUGUAUUUACAUUUAUUAUAUUUAAUUUUUUUUCUUUUGGAAUGGAACGUGUUUGUUUUUUUAUUGUGUCAAUGUCAGUGGAUCUCGUGAAAUGACAGGGAGCUUUUAGUUUAGUUGCUAUUUUCGUCUUUAUUAAAGAAAAGAGCUAAAAAGCACUUUUCCGCUUCUUGUACUUAUUUCUAUAUUGGCUCUUUUUUUGUUUUUAUCGUAAUAUUUAUGAUUUUUCAGGAAAGAAGCGGUUGUUUAGUUAUUUAUGAUACGGAGACCGGCAUAUUAAUAAAAUUUUGUGUCAAAUUUAUUCUUUUUUUUUUUAAACUUUUAUACUGACCGUUUUCUAUACAUAUAUACCAAUUCAGCUUUUUAAAUUAAGAUUUUACAUUUAUAAAUUUAAAAUAAAAUAAUAAGGAUGAGACGAAAGUUUUCAAAACGGGUCCCAUGCACGUGACAUUUGACAUGUUUCUUUGAAGAUGACAAGAGUCGUAUGUUUUUCUUCGUUGAGAAGGAAUUGGACCACGUUGCAGCAUUAGGACUGUAAGUCGCUGCCUUAUCUACAUGUGUCUCCUGGCCUUUCUCUUCCCCAGUUCAAGUUCUUGGCGGAAAAUAAUUCUUACGUACCCAAAAAAAAAAAAAAAAAUUCAAAUAGAGCGUUGGGGGCUUCAAGGGAUUAUCCAUGGAGUCAUCUGUAGAUCAAAAACCAGCUCCGUCCCUCCGUUUGAUUUCUCCUGAAGAAGAGGUUUGAUCGAUAUUUUCUUUCUUUUUCAUUUUUACUCCUUUUUUUUUUGUAGUUUUAUUUUUUUUCUGUGCCCACCCAAAGUUAUGCCUGCAGCUGGAACCGAACAUAUAAAAUUUAAGAAUGAUUUAGAAUGCAUGUUAAGUAAUUAAUUUUAUUACCUUAUAACCUAGUAAUGGCGGACCUAUUACUUCAUGAAAUGGGAAAAUCAUGUGGAAUAUUGAAUUGUGGACUUGAUCCUGAUCUAGUGGCUUAUUGGGAAAUAUCUGAAGUUGUUUUGAUCGAUUAAUAUUAGCUUUAGGAGAAGAUCUAAUACUUGUAUGGGUUCUUACAAUUUCUUCUUCGGUCAUUCAUUUAGAUCCAAUCAUAUAGCUAGUAAAAGAAACAUAUUGUAAUUAAUUAGCUAUAACAGAUUUGAUCUGACUGUACCACAAGGAUUUGUGUGUGUGUUAAUGACUACAGUCCAAUUAAUAACUGGAAACUCAGCAACCAAUUCCAACAAUGAGCUUUCAAAGAAUAAAGGCGUUAAAUAUCCCAAGUUAUCAAAAUGUGACUGUAGAAAAGUUUAUUUUGAGUAGAUUAACUCAGAAGCUUGGUAGACUUCAGGCAAUUACAUGUGUAAAUCUGUUUGAAGCUUUAAUUACUUGUGGACUAAGGGAAGAGUGAAUAUACAUUGCAUUUAUAAACUGUAAAUACAAUAAUUUAAUCCAUUGUCUACUUCUAAUAAAUAAUCUGUUAAUCAAUUUUGAUGUCUUUUUGUAGUAGAUGUACGAUCUUAUUCAAAUCGUUCUAUGUUGAAUGAAAUUUUAAUUUAUUUCAAAGUCAAUAGUAUAAGUAGACAGUUGAUUAAGAAAAAUGCUUUUCACCAUAGAAAUGCUAAAUAUUUGCCUUGAUGGGGUUGAGGUAAGUGGCUAAAAAUGAUUUGCACCAAAUUGGAUUCAGCCCCACCCAUAGAUUGUCUACCAUUACAUGUAUCAUCUCCGAAUUGCACGGUAAGAUGGAAUCUUAUUGAUGAUAUUAUCUCACAUUGAAGGAGAAUAAUAACUAAGCUAACAAUAUAAACCUGAGGAAUUUUUUAUUGUUGAACUAAUUCUUGGGUUGAAUUGGACCACGGGUUUCUAUAAAUUUAAAACCCCAAUUGGAAUCAACCCCACACACUAAAGGCUUAUCAAACUCUUCUGAGACCAAAGUCCUUGUGAGAUCCCGCAGUAAUCUUGUAUGUCAAAAGAGGAGAAAAGGGUGUGUUCAAGUGGGUUGGUUGAAGAUUGUUGGCGUCUUCCCUUCAUAAACCUGAAGAUAUAGAGUUUAAAUUUUCAUUUUCCCAUUUUCACUGUGCCAUUGUAUUUUUUAACUUUUGUAAGAAAAUCCUUUCAUCUGAAAUCCAUCCAUCUAAUUUCAUGUUUUGGGAGAGACUUUCCAGGUUUUGAAGUGGCAAAGUAAAAUGGGGUUAAGAACCUUUCUACAUCUCAUUAAAUGUACCAAAACUUAUAACUUAAAGAAUUGGAAGUAAUUCUAAGUUCAGGGGCUUCUUUCAACAGCAUUAUUCAUUAUAUAUAUAUAAGAGAAUCUAUUAUGCCAUGACUAAAGAAUUUGAGAGGCUUUACGUACAAAUGAAAGAACAGUAACCAGAGUUCAGCUUUUAACCUCAGUUUUUUUCCCCCCUCCCUAAUAUAAACCCUUUCUUUAUGAAGUUAUUUAUUUUAUAUUCUAUCGCUGUAUAUUAAUUUCAUUUGAAGCUUGUUAUAUUUCAUGUAUCCGUAAAUCAUAUCUGUUGAUAUCGUUUCAUGAUGAUUAGCGUCACACUGAGACAUUGGAGAUCUGUCCUCUGGUUGUGCCCUUUCUCAUGGCAUGUUCUAUGGUUGGUUUCCCAUUUUAUCCUCGCAUCUGCAAAGCUUGAAGCUUUUUAUAACUUAAAGACAAUUAAAUAUGGUGUUGCUUGUUUUCUAUGAUGUUGUCAGAUGGUCCAACAAAAAGUUUUGGAAAUUGUUGGUGUCUCUCUGAAUGAGUCAGAAAACUUUUAAUUUGAGCUAUUUUGCAGGUGUUCUGGUUGCUUUUAUGUGAAAUUUUCCUUGUUGGCCUUUAGUUCGUUCAAAGAAGAUAGAGCUGACAUUUGACUGCAAGGUUCAUUAUAUCAACUUUUUUAACUCUUUUUUUUUUAAAUUUUAUUCUUGUCUUUUUUUAACUCUUUUUUUUUUUUUUUUUUUUUCUUGUCUAUCUGUUAUUAUCCAAAUGUCUAUUGGUCAUAAUACAGUGGUGGCUUGGAGAGUUAUUGUAAUGCUCCGAAUUUAUCCUAAGUUGAAUUUAUCUAUUUAUUUUAUAGUUGCGUGUGUUUAUUUUAUUAUUAUUGUUAUUGUUUUAAUUUUAAUUGUUCUAGAACUUCCUCUAGUUUUAAUUGUUCUAGAACUUCCUCUAGUUUUUUUUUUUUUUAAGAAAAUCUAUAACUAAGACCAGCCCACAACCAACUUAUAUGGUUUCUUUAUUCUUUUGUUAAGCUCUGUAACAAACAAAACCAACGUUCAGGGGUGAUGAUGAUGAUGAUGAUAAGAGGGACAAGAAUAACAGAGACAUAACGAGGAAAAACAAAAGAAGAGAGAAGAAGAAGAAAAAGAAAUGGAGGGAAGGAGAGCAAUUGAUUUUUACAGACAAUAAUUGUGCACUUAAGGGAGCUGAGAACAACAGCAAGUAUGAAAUUUAUGGGAAACCAACAUGGCUUUCGCUGGAUUUUCUCAUAAUUCUUACUCUUUAGACCUGGUUUGGGUAAGUUUCCGUACAUGCAUGGUUCAAUUUUGCAAUCUUCUUACUUUUAUUAAUGUUGUUUUUUUUUUUCCACUUUGUUUUCUUAAUUGUUUCCUUGCUAGCUGCUGCUGUAACUUACAGCAAGUUUAGGAUUGUGUUAAAUUUGGGAUUCUUAAAUUAUUGGCAGUAUAGUUGGUUAAUUUUUGUCGCUGUAUUAUCAAUAGGAGUGGAGUUAGAUGAGAUGAGAAGUCUUUGGAGAACUACGAGCUGUUGGUGGAGGAUUGAGGUAGGUGGUUAUAUGCAAUUGAGUGAUUUUGUUUCUCAAAACCAAAAAAUCAAGUUGUUUUUCUUGCUCAAUAAUCUGAAUUUUUUUUUUAGUCCUUAAAAGUUGUUUUGCUUAGAUUUAAUGUGUUAAUGGCUUAAUUGCUUCCUUUAAUAAUUAAUGCAGUGGGUGUGUGGUUAGCCAUUUAAUUACGUGACCAUAUGGCUAAAAUAAAAAUUGACAUGUUAGAAUUAUCAACAGGAUUGCAAUUUUUAAUUGAAGACCAUGUAUUCAUAUUACUUGAAUCAGUUAUGAUAGUUAAUUUGGGUUGAUGCAAUCAUGAAUGAGAAUUAAACUUUAACUGUGAUAUGAGCCAAGUUUGGAAUAGGAAGUUUAGCUGAAUUGUGUUUAUGGGUCCUGCAAUGAUAUGGUGCUUUGAUUGCAGUUCAAGUUUGUGGAUGUGUUGUUAAACUGGGCAUGUACUGGGGUUCUGUUAUCCAUGGCUAUUGUUAUUGAGAAGUAUCAUGGGUGUGGUGUGUUAUUGUAAGGAAACUUACAUUGAUGCUAUUGAAUGAGUUAAUAAUUUUUAUUCCUUUUAUUUAAGUUGAGGUUUCAGAAGGUUAAAUGGUGAUGGUCAGAUUCCUGUCCCACGGUGAAGCCCACAAAAGAAAUUAUGGGUGAUGGCCCCUGGGAAUAACACCCCAAAAGUACGCUAUGCUGGAAUGACCUUGGUCAGAUUUCUACCCCCGGUGAAAGUCUGCAAAAGAAAUCAUGGGCGGUGGCCCCUGGGAAUAAUGCCCAAAAGUAUGUAAGGUAUUUCUUUUUAAAUUUAUUAUUGGUUGAAAAUGUUUGCCGAGGAUUUACAGCUUACUGACUUGUCAGGUGUGUUUUUAUUCUGUAUUUUUGAAUGAGUAAUUUUAGGAUUUCUUUACUCUUAACUACAGGGAGUAUUUUUCCCAAAAAAAAACUACAGGGAGUAUGAGCAGCACUGUGUUUGUAUGUGUGUAUGUUGUUAUAAACUUGUCUUUUUUCAUUACUGUUGAAUACCAACUUUCCAACUCAAAAAGUUUUAAGAAAUAAAUAUUUUUUCAUAUGUAUAAAUGGUUUAUGUUAGAAAUGUACCCAAGUUAUGUGAAUUAUUUUGGCGUAAAAAAAAAAAAAAAAGGAUCCUUUGUAGUGUGUGGCUUCCUACUGGGCAUUAGCUCACCCCUUACUUUUCAGGUUUUGGCAGUGGUGGUGAAAAAAUUGUGGUCGGUGGAGCAUUGAUUUUGAUUUGGGGCUUAACAUGGAGAUUACCUCUUUUGAAAGUUGUGUUUUGUAAUGAAGAACAGUCUUUGUUAUUUUUGUUCUGGUUGUACUUUGGCAUUACUGGCCUAGUAAACAUCGUAAGCUACCUUAUUGUAGAUAUUAUGCUUUUUAAUACAUGUAUUUAGAAUGACUAAGCAACAUUAGUAUGAUGCACUAAUAUGUGUUAUUGUUAUAGUAAUAGGGUCCCAGAGGCCCCUGUAUUGUAUUGACCGGUACAGUAGUAGAGUUGACUUGAGAAGGUUAUGUUUUAUUUAUUUAUUUAUUUUUUUAAUUUUUUAAUUUUUUAAUUUUUUAAUUUUUUAAUUUUUUAAUUUUUUAAUUUUUGAAGUUUUAAGCAGCUGGGUAUAAAAAUUGCUGGUUUGAUAUAUUGUGUAAUGUCCAUAUUUUAGGGGAGAGAAUGUCAAAGUUUUCUGGAAGUGCUGGGUUUUAUUCAUCUCUAUAAGUGCAUGUUUGUUCUUGUAAGCAAACAGUCACAGCUUAAUUGUUAAAAGCUCAUACUUGCACCUGAUGUGGAUAAAAUUUUCUUAUCACACGUGUCCUUAAGUUAGGGGCCUAAGUGUUUGUUUAUGGACAUUAUUCCAAUAAUAAUUCUUUAAAAUAUUCCUAUUGAACGUAUUUUACUUUUGUCCAUUUUCAAGAUUAUUUUUGAAAAUGAUACUGAUCACAUUUUUAAAUUUUAAAAAUAAAUUUAAAAAUAGAAUUUUCAUUCUCAAUUUUGUUUCAUGAAAACAACAUUUGGAAAACAAUACUGAACAGGGCCUAAGUGUUUGUAGGUUCUUUUUAUGACAUAAAUAAGUCAUUGUUCUGAUUUUAGGAUUAUUUAAAAUGCAGAUAUUUACUAUCAUUUUCUGUUCGCAAAAUCGUUAAUUCUUGAAAAUUUUCAUAUUUUGCUUGUCAUUGGUAUGGAUUUAUUCAUUUAAUGGUAUAUUGAGUAUAUUAUGAUGUUGUUUUGUUCCUUUAUUAGUAUUAGGAGAAGUAUUUAGUGGUUCUAUGGGUUUUUAGUUUCUUCUUCAGCCGUAUUUUCUCUGUCUAAAGGUUAAGGUCCUGUAGUUCAUGUGUUGAUUGUUUGGUGGGGAUUACCUUUGGUAGCAAUUCCAUGAGGUAUAGGCAUUAAAUAACCCAAUUUGUUUAAAUGCACCCUUGGAUUGUAUUUUGAGCAGAUUAACUGAAAAUCUUGGUAGGAAUUUAGGCAAUCAAGUAAGUCUGUCAGAAAUUUAAAAUUGGUUUGGGAAUCAGUUGUCUGUUAAACAAAUGUUUGCGGAUACAUGCAUUGAUUCUCAAUAAUGUUAUUGAUUUUGGGAUGCUCCAAGUUCUUGUAGCUCUUCGCUAAUGGAAAAUGUUUUUUGCUUUUUUGGCGAGGAUAGAAACCCAAGGUUAUCUGGCAGUGUGAUGAUCUAGGUCUUUUUUGGGUUAUUUGGCAAGAUUGCAUUUUUGAAGAUAAGAGGGAAGACUAAGUUUCUGGUCUAUGGGACAAUGUUCACUUUUGGUUAUUUUGAUCAUGCCUGAUGCCUCUAGUCAUUGUUUUGGAAAGCAAUGUGGUUCUCAUUAUAUUGCUCAAUUCCAAUAGCUUAUUUUUCUUGGUCUAACUUCACCAUUCUGUGUUUUCUUUUGAAUGAAGUCCCAGCGGCUAUAAGUGCUAAGAGUUAUUUUACUAGUGAAACUGAUCAACGAGCUGUUUUACUCUUGAAGACAAAUCUCUGUAACAAUAGAGUCUAGCACUGCAGUUAAAUAUACAAUAAAUGACUGUGGUUGCAUUAAAUUGAAGGUUGGAAGUCAGGGAAAUUGAUUGAUUGUGCGUUUGGGGCCGCUGCGCACCCUGAAUGCAUCUUUUAACAUCAGUAACUGCACUGAUUGUUUCCAUUUCAGGUUUUUGUACAUUCAUUCAUAUUUUUGCAAGGAAACUGUGUUCCUUAAAAGUUAUAUGAGCUAUGCUUGCAGAAGAUUAAACAUGGUUGUUUCUUUAAUACACAAUUGAUGGUUUUUGAAGUAUUUUCCCCAAGAUUUUCUACUAAUUAAAUCCUUAAUAAGUUUCAUAUACAUAUUUAUAGUCGCAUGUUUUAUGAGAAGGAAAGAAUUUAAAAAAAUCAUCAGGUACUGCAUGGGAGUGGAUAUUCUUCUAAACCACUUAUACCAUACAUUACAGAAUAUCUCCUUUAAUGUUAUCUAAGCGCCUUUUACCUUCUAUUCUUUUCUAUUCUUUUGUUUUUGUGAAGUACUUAGCUGAAAGUGAAAGACCAUAUUUUUUCCUUUGUUGGGUGGGUGGUUCUUUUCUUUGACGUCAAUCAUUUGGCUUACUUGAGUGGUGAUAUUUUGAUUUUGAAGUAAAUUAGGUCAUUUUCUUACUUGACCAUGGUAUUGCCAACAUGAGUCUGUGUUUGAUGGUUGAUGUGUCGCUAGAUAUAUCUUCUUGAUUAAGAAUGAUUACGGAAGAAAUUUAAUGAAACAUUCAUUAAGGGUUUAUAAAUGAAUUUAAUGGGUUUAAUGAGUAAAAAUACUAUUUUUGUACAAACUGGGUUUCAUAAAGGUACAUUAGUUAUUUAGGUGAAUUUAUCGAGUAAAAUUUAAGAUUUCAAAAGAUUAGGAUAAGUUUAUUUAGUGAAUAAAUUUAAUGAUUAGUUUAGUGGGUUAAAAUCACAUCACCUUUACAAUAAAAAUAAGCUGUCUUAUUUACAGGGUAUAUAAUUAUACAAUUUAAAAGAAAAGAAGCUGUUGCCUUCGAAGACUCUCACUUCAAAUCAAAGUUUCAUUUUUCUGUUCAGUAUUAGCAUAGAUUGUGUGUGCAUGAUUGGAUGUUACAGGCUACUUUCUGUUUUGCAAGCGUUAAUUUAUUGACAAUGCAUCUCUUUUAUCUCCUUCAUCAUGUGGGAAACCUCAUUGGUUAAUACUCAAUCAAAGGUCAACAACGACAUAGGAGGGACAAAUCUUGGCCAUUAAUUGUAAACACUGCCACAUGUAACAAGAUCCAAAUAGUGCAUAACCUUGUUUCCUUUUUUUUAGAAAAACAAAGUUCGAAAGUUAUAAUGGCGUUACUUUUUUUUUCCCCCCCUUUCUUUCUUCUUCUUCUUCUUCUUCUUUUUGGGCGUAUGGUAGUUUGUUUUAUAGGCGGUUCCAUAUGAUGCUGAGAAGGGGCUCUAUAUAAAAGCCAUAUAGGCUUCCCAAUCUGAAGACCCUAAACUUAAUCACAGUCAUCUUGAAUUUUUUUUAUUUGAGAUUUUUAUUUCCGCCAAUAUUAAAUCUUUUAAUCUUCAUUAUGAACUCGAAAUCUCAGGAUGCCAAUUAAAUCUUAUAUAUAUACUUGGCAUGUGGGACAAGUAAUUAAUGUUCAUUUUUGCCAUCCUUUUGGAUGCUUGUCUGCAAGUUGAUACCUUCCUCAGGAAGUUUCCUUCAGUGGAUUGUGAAUAUUGAAUUUUCGAACUUCCGAUCGAUGUACAGAGACUUGGUCGAUACAAAUCUAGUGAGACGAGAGACACUAUAACAACAGGUGUUGCAAUCUAUUAUCUACAUAUAUAUAUAUAUAUAUACACGUAAUAGGCACAAGUCUAAUGUGACAUCAUCUUUUGCUAAAUGUGACAUUCGAUUGUACUUUUUUUUUUCCUUUUUAAUGUGGAUUUCAGUUCUCCAAUGGGGGACAGGCAUUCCAUGGCACAGGUUAACAAGCUUCCGGCAAAAAAGCAGACGAAAUGCCCAGCAGCUGAAGUGUUAUUUUUUUGCUUCAAAACGAAAAAGGUUAUGGACGUUUUGUGAGGGAUUCAGCUUGUUCUGAAUUCAUUCUUCCGUAAUUUUCAUUUUUAAUUUGUAUGAUAGGAUCGCCUGAAUUUACACUGGUUAAAAGUAGCAGCGUAGCUAUAAAUUUUGGCACCGAUAGUGCUUAUAGUUUAAUUUGAUGAUACCGACAUCAUACGUUCUUGUGUUUUUGUUUUGAAUUUAUGCCAUCACCAAUUGAAAGCCUUAUCUCAUUGAUAUUGUUGCAUUUUUCCGUUAUUGCUUAAGAAAAUGGCUUAGGGCCGUCCGACCAAAUGAACUACUAAUCAAUAGCGGAACAAGGAUAUCCACUUAUUGUUAUAUGUUAUCUCAUUUUAUAUAUAUAUAAGAUAUGACAUAUAAUAAUAAUUUUUACUAAUAAAAUUAUCAAAAAGCAAGUUGAGUUUAAUUUAUUUUGGGAAAUAUUGGGAUUAUUAGUUAUUUAUUAAAUAAGAAAUAAUAUGUAUUAAAUCUGAAUCAUAAUUAUAUUAUUAUAAAUACACAAGUGAUACGAGAUUAUAUAUAUAUAUAUAUAGCACAAUUAAUUUAAUAUUUGAUCUAAAGUUCUAGAGUCUCAUCUUGCAUUCACCAUGCUGAGAUACUGCAGCCUAAAAUUUUAAACGAAUUAAUAUUGCAUGAAAGUAAAAGAAUAAUGGUCUAAGAUUUUAAAUUACAGCAGAUUUUGAGCGAACCAAAAAGAAAAUAAUGAUAUAAGAUUCUAAAGAAAAUUCAUAUCUAAGAAUUCAGUCAAAUGACAAUAUUAUUUUCUUAAUUUUGAAUUUUCGAUCCUUGUCAAAAUAAUAAAGAUAAGUUUAUCGACGUCGGGGACCACGCAAAAAUAGAUGCUUUUGCGGACGUGUAGCCGCCAGUGGCGUGCUUGCUCUCCUGCUUUUAACUGGAGUUUCUCUGCCCAUUUUGACAAGUCUCUCUCUCUCUAAAUAAUUGUUUUCUUCCUUGUUUAUGACAAAGCGAAUUAAUUUAAUCAAAUAAAUACUAAAAUAAACAGAUAAUAAGAAGAAUAAGAAGAGGAGGAAUAGGCGUUACGCAAUGAUGAGAUUAAGUGCUUGCGGGCUGGUGAAAUUGCCGACACAAGAGUGAGUGACGUUUGUCGUCUUGUGAGUAUACUCACCGUUGUUUCUCUUUCGCUCGAUGCAAAUCUCCUCCGGGACGUCCCUAAUCAACCAGAUCCAGCUAUACAACCUAAUCAAGCCUGCUGCGUCAAACCUUCAUUGAAUGGGAAUUCAAAUUCGAUGACAUCUAACUGCCUAAACCUAAGGCGAAUACGUGAACAGAGACUUUUCUCUGCUGCUGUAGCUGCUAGGAUACUAAAAUUGUCUGCUUUAGCUAACCAGGGGCUUGCUAAGGGUAUUCAUACAUGAAUACCCUUAUCAAUCCCCUUACUGGUGUCGUUGAUUUUGGCUGGAAUUUGGUGGUGGAGGACUGAAUUUUGAGGAGGAUUGUGUGGAAGAGAUGGAACUGUUGUGGUAAUUUGAUGGUUAAAACGACGCCGUUAUAUUUGUCACGACCGGCUGUGGAAGGGAGCCUUUUGCGUUGAUUAUUUUUGGUGACCGGCUUCAACCACUUGAAUAAGUUUUAAUUUAUCACUGUUAUGUUCACUUAGCAUGAGUUUAUUGGUCAACUAAUCAUUUCACUGAUUGUAUGUUGCGAUAAAUGUAAUUUAGAGGAAUCCUUGUGUUUGUGGGUGUGAAUAUGUCUUAGUCCAGGUCUGACAAAAUAGAGGGCCAAAUCAGAGAUUUUAUCAUCUUUUGUCUUUAGAUAUCUGUCAGGCUGCCACAGUACAAGUGUAGGUUCUCUUUUGUCUUUUUCUUGCUUUUACUCUCUCCUUGGUUUUAUGAAAAUGUGGCCGUGAGGAAUGUUGCCAUCCCAUAAAUCCCCUAAGAGCUCAACUAGCAGCCCUCUCUUAUGGUUAGCUGAGAGCUCAAAUCUUCUUCCAUUGCAAAAGUAUGAAGUUUUCUUUUGACAUUCAGUUUCCAGAAAUGAAUUGUCCUGUUGAUGUGAGAUUCUUGUUUCCACCAUUGCUAAAUCUUGUAGUCUUCUUUUUCUUCCUGAGAUCUCAAGAUAGUCAGUCUUGGUCCCUCCAGGAUGGAGCCAACCACAUACUUUUGUACCCAAUUUUAAAGCUUCAAUUCCCCUUCAUGAGUCUUGCCGUCCUGAUAUUACUGCUCUUUCUCCUCACAGCUAUCAGGGUUCCUCUCAGAGUGAGCAGCCCCAUGUCCGUGAGUUGUGGAGAUCAUCUCCCUUGUCUGUUGGCAAUAUCAACAAUCGCGUCUCUCAUUUUGGCUCCAUCUCUUUUCUUGGUGGUUUAUCUGUGUUUCAUGAUCCUAUCUCUCUUUUAUGUAAUGUCAACUUCCUUGUUUAAGCGCUUCUGCAAAGGAUACACUGUUGUUCCUGAAUCUGAUGGUCAAGUUGAAGUUGGACAUGAAGCUGAAGCUGAAGUUGAAGUUAAAGUAGAAGGUGGGCGCAUCCAAGACCUGCUGCCAAGUCCAUCUGGGGAUAUGGUGUAAUUGUGGUGACUUCAGCUUCCAUGCAACUACUACUACCUAUAGCUGGCUACAGGUGCCACAGUAAUAAUAUAUGCUUCUGUUUUAAUUUUUUUUUUUUUUUAAGAAAAAGAUAAAAAUCAGAUCAGUUGUGUUAGUUAUGCAUACGAUUCCGUAUAGACGACGCAGACAACGAAUGCUUUUUUUUAAUAAUAAUAUUUAUGAGAUUCGUGUGUCUCUCUCUGUUAACAAUUUUCACUUUGUCUCUCCAUCAACACGCAGUACUAAAGUUGAAAAGAAUAUUAUAUAUAAAUUACUUUUCUUCUUCAGUUAAGCUUUAGUUCUGGUAAUUCAUUACGAUUUCUUUGUUAAAUGAAUACGUGCGGCUCACAGAUAAAUUAACACAACAAACAAUAGUUGCUUCUCAAUUCUCAUUGUGAUGUUUUAAAGAAACUUAUUUUAUCUUAAUUGUUCUUUUUAUAUUUAUAUUUACAUUUUGUUUUAAUGUAUAUGUAUCUAUUAUGAGGGUGUAAUUACAUUUAUUUUAUUUACAGAGUGGAAUGCAAAUCUUUUUUUUUUUUUUUUUUCCAUUUUUUUGGUUUGGAAUGGAAACUGUUUCGUCUAUAUUAAAGAAAAGAGCUGAAAAGCAUUUUUCUGCUUCUUGUACUUAUUUCCAUAUUGGCUCUCUUUUUUUUUUUUUAUCGUAAUAUUUAUGAUUUUCCAGGAAAGAAGCGGUUGUUUAGUUAUUUAUGAUACGGAGAACGGUAUAUUAAUCUUAAUUUUGUGUCAAAUUUAUUCUGUUUUUUUUUUUUUAAUUUUUAUACUGACCGUUUUCUAUAUAUAUAUACCAAUUCAGCUUUAUAAAUUAAGAUUUUGCAUUUAUAAAUUUAAAAUAAAAAAUAAAUAACAUACGCCACCUACCUGAUGUUCAAAGAUUCGCAAACAAACACAAUGAAAAGAGAUGAGAAAAAGCUAUCAAAGCGGGUCCCAUGCACGUGACAUUUAACAUGUUUCCGUCCAAUAAUUCUUGAAGAUGACAAGAGUCGUACGUUUUUCUUCGUUGACAAGGAAUUGGACCACGUUGCAGCAUUACGAACUGUAAGUCGCUCCCUUACCUAUACAUGUCUCCUGGUCUUCUUCUUCCCGAGUUCAAGUUCUUUCUGGAAAAAAAUUCUUACACAGCAACAAAAAAAAAAAAAAUAAUCGUAUAGAGCAUUGGAGGCUUCAAGGGAUUAUCCAUGGAGUCAUCUGUAGAUAAAAAACCAGCUCCGCCCCUCCGUUUGAUUUCUCCUGAUUCCUGAAGAAGAGGUUUGAUCGAAGAUCGAUAUUUUCUUUCUUUUUCAUUUUUACUCCUUUUUUGUAAUUUUUUUUUUUUAUACCUAUCCAAAGUUUCGCCUACAGCUGGAACCGUACAUAUAAAAUUUAAGGAUGAUUUAGAAUGUAUGUUAAGUAAUUAAUUUUAUUACCUUUUAAUCUAGUAAUGGCAGACCUCUUAAUUCGUGAAAUGGAAAAAUCUUGUGGAAUAUUGAUUUGUGGAGUUGAUCCUGAUCUAGUGGCUUAUUGGGAAAUAUCUGAAGUUGUUUUGAUCGAUUAAUAUUAGCUUUAGGAGAAGUAUUUUAUAAUUUCUUCUUCGGUCAUUAAUUAAGAUCCAAUGAUAUAGCUAGUAAAGUAAAAGAAACAUAUAGUAAUUAAUUAGUCUAUAACAGAUUCGAUCUGACUGGACCAUAAGCGUAUUUGCCUGCAGUGCGCGUGUGUAUUAGAUGUGCACGAGGCUGAGGCUCGCUUUUGUCUUUUGAUACGAGGCUAGGGCAAGGGUUUUCUUCUCUUUCUCUCUCUCCUUUGUUUUAUGAAAAUGAGUCCGUAAGGAAUUAAUGUUGCCAUCCUAUAAAUCCCCCAAGAGCUAGCAGCCCUCUCAUACGGUUGGCUGAGCACUCAAAUCUUCUUCCAUUGCGAAUGUAUGAAAUUUUCUUUUUGACAUUCCAUUUCCAGAAAUGAACUGCCCUGUUGUAUGUGAGAUUUUUGUUUCCACCAUUGCUAAAUCUUGUAAUCUUCUUUUUCUUCCUGAAAUCUCAAGAUGGUCAGUCUUGGUACCUCCAAGAUGGAACCAAUCAGAUACUUUUGUACCCAAUUUUAAAGCUUCAAUUCCCCUUCCUGAUAUUACUGGUCUUUCUCUUCACAGCCAUCAGAGUUCCUGUCAGUGUGAGAAGCCCCAUGCCCAUGAGUUGUGGAGAUCAUCUCCCUUGUCUGUUGGCAAUAUCCACAAUCGCUUCUCUCAUUUUGGCUCCAUCUCUUUUCUUAGUGGUUUAUUUGUGUCUCAUAAUCCUAUCACUCUUUUAUGUAACGCUAACUUCUCUGUUUAAGCGCUGCUGCAACGGACACGCUGCUGUAAUAGCUUCUGCCGAACCUCACGAGGGCAUCCAAAACCUGCAGCCAGGGGAUCUGGUGCAAUUGUGGUGACUCGAAGUUCCAUGCAACUACUACUACCUAGGGCUAGCUACAGUUGCCACAGUAAUAAUAUAUAUUUCUCUUUUAAUUUUUUUUUAAAGAUAAAAUUCAGAUCUGUUGUUUUAGUUAUGUAUACGACUCCGUAUAGAUGAAGUGGACAAUGAAUGCAUCUAUGUCCUUUUUUUUGUUGGGAAAGUGUUCGGUUUUUUUUUUUUUUUUUUUGACCACGAGGUAUUUUGGGGAGGGCCCCAACUGUGGGAGACACCUUUAAGUCCGUACCACAACCCAUACUUGACCACGAGGUAUCCUGGGGAGGGUCCCAACUGUGGGAGGCACCUUUAAGCUCAUACCACAACCCAGACUUGACCACGAGGUAUCCUGGGGUGGGGCCCAACUGUGGGAGGCACCUUUAAGCCCAUACCACAACCCAGACUUGACCACGAGGUAUCCUGGGGAGGGGCCCAGCUGUGGGAUGCACCUUAAAGCCCGUACCACAACCCAGACUUGACCAUGAGGUAUCCUGGGGAGAGCCCUGAUUGUAGGAUGCACCUUAAAGCCCGUACCACAACCCAGACUAGAAGUCCCGCUCGAAUCGAGAGGCACAGAUUCUCCCAACAAAGACGACUUUCCUGCGAUUCGAAUUGGGGAGCAAACCUAGUCAAGCCACUUAAGAGGACUCCAUUACCAGUAAAACCAACACUUUAUUGGUGGAAAGUGUUCGGUUUUUAAUUGUCAAUAUAAGUGGGUAUCACGAAAUGGCAGUUAACUUUUAGUUUAGUUGCUAUUUUCGUCUUUAUUAAAGAAAAGACCCGAAAGGUACUGUUUCUUGUACUUAUUUCUAUAUUGGCUUAUUUUAAUUUAGUCUUUUUAUCGUAAUAUUUCUAAGAAAGAAGCGGUUGUUUAAUUAGCUAUGAUGCGGAGAACGGAAUAUUAAUAAAAUUUUGUGUCAAAUUUAUUCUGUUUUUCAUUUUUAAUCCAGUACCCUACCCUCGACUCAGUAAUAGCCAUUAAAAUUUUAUAUAAGUAUUGAGAAUUGGCUUGUAGCAGGAGCAAUGAACAAAUUAUUAAUAGCCAAAUGCAGACCCAUUUUAUUUAUCGGCAGUCAGACUGACGGUUUUAUAUACAUAAAUACCAAUUCAACUUUAUAAAUUAAGAUUUUACAUUUAUAAAUUUAAAAUUUAAAAAAUAAAUAAAUAGCAUGCACUGGCUGAUGUUCAAAGGUUCCAAACAAACAAAAUCACCCAAUGAAAAGAGAUGAGAAAAAAGGUUUCAAAACGGAGCCCACAUGCAUGUGACAGUAACAUGUUUCUGUCCAAAAUUCUUGACGAUGACAGAACGUUUUCUCCGUUGAGAAGGAAUUGGACCACGUUGCAGCAUUAGGACCGUAAGACGCUGCCUUAUCUAUAUAUGUCUCCAGGCCUAUCUCUCCCCGAGUUCAAGUUCUUUGUCGAAAAUAAUUCUUAAACAACCCAAAAAAAAAAAUAGAGCGUUGGGGCUGCAAGGGAUUAUCCAUGGAGUCAUCUUUAGAUAAAAAACCAGCGCCACCCCUCCGUCUGAUUCCUCCUGAAGAAAAGGUAUGAUUGAUAUUUUCUUUGUUUUUCAUUUCUACUCUUUUUUUUUUUUUUUAAAUUUCCGUACUCAAUCUAGUGAUGGCAGACCUAUUAAUUCAUGAAAUGGAAAAAUCUCGUGGAAUAUUGACUGGUGGAUUUGAUCCUGAUCUAGUGGCUUAUUAGGAAAUAUCUGAAGUUGUUUUGUUACAUUAAUAUUAGCUCUAGGAGAAGUACUUAAUCUUAUAAUUUCUUCUUCGAUCAUUAAUUAAGGUCCAAUCAUAUAGCUUUUAAAAGAAACAUAUUGUAAUUAAUUAGCCUAUAACAGAUUCAAUCUGACUGUACCAUAAGCAUAAAUAUGUGUGCGUGUAGUAAUGACUACAAUUGAAUUAAUAGUCGGAAACUCGGCAACCAAUUCUAAGAGUGAGCUUUCAAAGGUUAAAGGCGUUAAAAAUAUCCCAAUUUAUCAAAACAUGACUGUUGAGAAGUUUCUUUUGAGUAGAUUAACUGAGAAGCUUGGUAGACCUUAGGCAAUUACCUGUAUACAUCUAUUUAUUAAAACUUUAAUUAAUUACCUGUGGAUUAAGGGAAGAAUGAAUAUACAUUGCAUUUUAUAAAUAAUCGUUUUCCCUCUCAUAACUUGAAAAUACAGUAACUUAAUCCAUUGUCUACUUGCAAUAAAUAAUCUGUUAAUCGAUUUUGAUGUGUGUUUGUAGUGGAUGUACGCUGGUACUCAAAGCUCUCUAUUAUGAAUGAAAUAUCAAUUUAUUUCAAAGUAAGUAGUAUGGCAGACAAUUGAUUAAUAAAAAUGACUUGCACAGUAGAAACGCGGGAGCCACGUUGCGUAAAGUUUGUCAUCACUCGCUUUAACUCGGACAAGAAAACACUUACAGCAUGCCCAGGCCUAGUUAAGAAGACCAAAAGGUCCAUUACGAAUGAAACUACAAGUUUAAAAAGGGAGAGAAGCCCAAGAAGGGACUAGGCCCAGAAUCUUGUUGUCUCCUAUCGGGUCCUGCUAUCCCAGCCGUCUGAUCCAUUGCAGCAUCAAUAAUAUUCAAUUUAAAGCAGCCGAAAGGUGGCGAUUACCAAAUUGGAUUCAGCCCCCCAGAUUGCCUACCAUUACAUGUAUCAUCUCCGAACUGCGCCGUAAAAUGGGAAUAUUGUUGAGGAUAUUAUCUCAAGGAUAAUAGUAACUACGCCAACAAUAUAAACUUGAGGAAUUUUCUAUUUUUGAAUUAGUUCUUGGGUUGAAUUAGGCCAUGGGUUUCUAUAAAUCUAAAAACCCCAAUUGGGUUCAGCUCCAGAGACGAAAGUUUAUCAAACUCAUUCGAGAACCAAAGCCCGAUUACUAGAUUCCCGCAGUAAUCUUAUUUGUCACUACAGGAGAGAAGGGUGUGUUCAAUUGGGUUAGCUGAAGAUUGUUGGCAUCUUCCCCUCGUAAACCUGAAGAUAUAAAGUCCUCCAGAAGGUUAAGAAUUCAAGAUAUAUUUACCUUUAUGGAAACAACAAGGAGCUUUUCUCAGCCCAUAUAAACACUUCUCAAGUUCAUAUAGAGCUAAUAUUUGAGAAAUGCCAAAAGAAAGUAAAAGUUGUACUUGUCUAUAGGAAAUUCGAAAUGAGGAAGCUAUGAAGUCUCUUAUUUUCAAGAAUAAUUGGAUUAAGAUAAAGCAGGGGAUGACUAUAGUUUUUUACUACAACUUAAGCUGUAUAUAGAAGUUUAUUGGUUUCUCUAAUGCUCUAUACUUAUUUUGAAGGCUUAAAUUUCCUCGAACUAAUCUAUUUUUACUCUUCUAUAUUGUUUGUCCGUUCCAUUUUAUUUUAUGUUUCAAUAAAAAUAAUCGGUUUGUAUCACUCUCACUCUUGUUGAAUCAAAAAUCAAAAUCACUCUUUCUAAGACCGUGUUUCGGUGCAUUAUAUAUAUAUAUAUGGUCUUCUUGUAUUUGUAGACUUUUAUUUGCAGUAAUAUAAUUGGCUUUUUUAUGUUUGGUCUUGUUAUAUAUUAUUGUUCUCUGAAGUCUGAAGCAUAGUUAUCUUGAAACAGGCAUAUCCAGAGAACGAUAUAAUACAUAUGGUGCAUCAUACGAAAGGUCUCCUAGUAAAAUUGAAAUUGGGUUAUUUUUACAUACCUCUCCUGAGGUUUCACGUAAUAACAAUUUAAUAGAAAGUAUCUCCGUAUUUUUACAUCCCUCCCCUGCAGUUAGUAUUUCCGUCAGUUGACCGUUAGUGGACCAACAAGAGGACGAAAAUACUCUUUCAAGGUUGACAGGUACAAUUUCCCAGCAAAUUUGGCAGUGCAAGCAUAUUCAAAAGUCGAAAAUACCCAAAUCAAAUAUAAAUUUCACAUUGCUUCGAAGUUGGAGAUUUGGGGUCCAAAAAAAUUUCUUCUCCCUGCUAAUAUUAUUGUUGGAAUCAACAAUAAUAUUGGCAGCAACUUUGCCUAUAAAUACUUCAAUAAAACAAUGUUUAGCUUCUAUGACCAUUUGACAUUUAUUUUGAAGGAAAAAAAAUCCAUUGCAUGAACUCAUGAAGCUCAUGCUAUACAUUAGAUUAGCUAGACUACCUAGCAUUAUUUAAAUCUUGUCGCAGAAGAUUAAUAAGAAAAAGCGAAACCCAUUAUAAUCCAGCCAUAAUAUAUUUUCACAAUUCAAACUUAUUGUCACUUUUAAAGUCAAAGCGAGGAUAAGAACCAAAACUGACUAAAGAAUUGCUAAAAUUCUGCAUGUCUAAUGCUAGUCAAAUAUCAAGUACACGAAUGAAUGGGACAUAGAGAGUUGAACAAGAAUUUUCAAGCACCCAAAAUAGUAACUAAAUUUGUGUCUAAAUGCGGAAAUAAGCAAUACAAGAAAUAUAAACAGGGCUGAGUUUCAAAAAGAAAAACUCUAACUGAUACUACUCUUCCUCACAAUUUAUUAGAUAGUUAUUGCACACAAAAUGAUUUAGUAAAGUGAUAUGGAAAAUCAAGCAAGAAAUAUUAAUAAAAUGAAAAUAGGCCUGCAUAAUAUCAUCCCUUAAUUCCAUUAACUCCAACAUUAUAAACAUUUGACUGCUAAUAAAUAUUAAGUUGAAAAUCUAAUUAACGGGAAAAAAAAAGUUAAGAACAAAAAUACCACCAAAAGCCUUUGUAGCACUAGUGGUACACAGAAGCAACCCCGUACAGCUCACUGAAGAAGAAGACCUUAUAUAAGAAGCAGUUGAAUCCGAACCAGCCCACCCACCAGCACUAGUAGCGGAUUACCCACCAAGCGAUUCAUAUCCAUAUAAAGUUUAUGCCGCAACAGAAGGAUGAUAAACUUUCUGUAGAAGAGUCCUCGGGAACAUUUUUCUCUUCUAAAUCAAGUAUUGGGGGCCAAAGGAAAGUCAAGAUAACGCGACGAGGAUUUGACACACACACAGACACAGAGUCAGGAGCUGAAGUCAUUUGCAACGACAUCGAGCCGUGUAGAGGUGGAGAGGCAUGAAGGAACCACCGAAUCGAGAGGAAUGUCUGGAUGAGAAAGGAUGUAGCUUUUAGGGCUUGUUUUGUUUUGUGAAAUUGGGAAUUAGGGGAACGAAAUCGUGAGCUGCAACGGCGAGACAUGGUGCGGCAUGAAGGAAUCACCGGAAGGGGUGACCGGAUGAGAGAGGAUGUGGCUAUUAGGGGUUACAGAUAAGCUGAUUUGUGAAUUUCUCGUCUUGCUGACCUGAACAGAAUUGAAACCCGAAUAUAAUUUCGGGUUCUGUUCGGUUCUGGUCAACCGACUCAAAAGCCCCUCAAAGUUGAUGUAUCAUAGGAUAGUCAUCAACUAGUAAUUAAACUAACAUGACUUUUAUGCUAAUUCAACAUAAAUCGAAACCCAAACAUUCACAACACAGCAGCACCAAUCUUUCUAGCUUAUAUAUCCAAAAUGAAGAAAACCAAAACUAUGAUUUACUACAAUAUUUUUUCCUAAAAAAAAAAAGUAAAAAACUAACCUCUUCGCAACUCCAAUGCCGGUCGCGGAACCACGUUGCCGUCUAUACUCGCUCAUCUUGUUUAUGGGUAAGUUCAAACUGAUGAUGAAUCUUGAUCUUCAAGCUCGAUAAUACUUGCUUGUUUUCACACUUAUGAUACUGAGGGGUAAAUCUUUUUGCAAAAGAUUUACACUUUUGUGAAGGCAUUGUUUUUUGGUUAAUGAUUUGGACCGGAUAAUGAAGUGAUACAUCAGGUUUUUUGCGCUUACCUAUACUGGUACAGUGAACUUUUUAAGUUUUUUUUUUUUAAUUUUAAAUGAGCUUUUACGAUUUUAGCCUUGCACCUAUACUGGUACAGUGAACUUUUUAAGUUUUUUUUUUUUAAUUUUAAAUGAGCUUUUACGAUUUUAGCCUUGCAUACUGAUGCUAUACAUAAUUUUAUACUAACUGCAGGGGAGGGAUGCAAAAAUACAGAGAUACUUUCUAUUAAAUUGUUAUUACGUAAAACCUCAGGGGAGGUAUGUAAAAAUAACCCAAUUGAAAUUCAAUCUGUUUUCACAUGAAGUUACUUUAAAGUGGAUGGAAUGGCCUUAGCUAAGUUAGUAUUAAUGAGAAAUGAAAUUGUUGUAGGCUGGACUCUCUCUCUCUCUCUAUACCUUUUCGAAGGAAAGUGACGCUUUGAUUGAUUUUGUUAAGAAAUAAAAUUUAAAAUGGGAUUUUAUUACAUAAUAUUAUAUUAAAUUCAAAAGUUUAUUUUUUUAAUUAUUGUAAUCAUAAAGAUUUUUUUUUUAAAAAAAAGAAAGAGGCAAGCAUAGUCGGGUUUAGCUAAUAUGGCAGUUGCCGCAUUAUCACGGCCCAUUAAUGUAAUGUUGUUGUAGCUACUUUUAGCGCCAAAUGUGGGUCUGCAUAAAUUUAAUACAAAACGGUGUUUUUAUACCAUAUAAUGUGGGGUACCAAAUACACCCUUAAUGCUUACUCUUGGAAUAAUUUGAAAUAGUACAAGUUGCAUCUCAUGUUUAGAAUGAAUGAAAUUUGAUCAUUUCAGUAUUGUAAGAACCUUAAUUCCAAUUCCGUCGGUUUGACCAAUUGAGUCUACCAUAAAUUGUAAAUUCUGAAGCAAUGUUUGAAUUAGAGUAUAAUUAUUUUAUUCUAUGGUUAUUUCAUUUUUUAUUUUUAUGAGAAUACUAUGGUUGUUUCAUUGGUUGAAACUUGGAACUAGAAUGGUUCUCAGCUUAGAUGUGAGCUGAAAUGGUUGUAUUUGUUUGGAGAAAAAGAAGGGACUGUUCUGCUUUGUGGUCAUUUUUUCCACCCCCACAAACUGCGACUCGAACCCAAACUAGCAAAUUCAACUGGGAGCCUACCUUUGCGGUAUACUGGCGACUCUGUCUCAGUCGGACUCAGUCAUCUAUGUCUUUUCCUUUUAUCUCUUCCAGAGCUCGAGUUCUAUGUUGGAAAUAAUUCUUGUGAGAAAAAAAAAAAAAUCAAAUAGAGGGUUGGGGUUUCAGUGAAAUUUUAAUUACUGUUAGAUUAAGAACCUGCAGCCCCCUGUUUGAAUUGUUCUGAAGAAGGGGUUUGAUAUUUUCAUUUUUCAAAAGCAAUUUCUUUUUUAAUCUUUUUGUAUUUUCAAUUUUAAUUUUUGUGAUUUUUUUUAACUCUUUUUUAUUUCUUUUUAUGUAUUUGGUUGUCAAGUGUUUCACCUACUGCCAACUGUAACAUAACCUGUUUUCUUGUUGAAGAAAGAACAUAAG
RNAcentral lists this long non-coding RNA (34976 nucleotides) under Citrus sinensis (sweet orange). RNAcentral's name for it is "long non-coding RNA (CSIN_LNC003843)". The record is from RNAcentral. Lineage: Eukaryota; Viridiplantae; Streptophyta; Magnoliopsida; Sapindales; Rutaceae.